Maniola jurtina (meadow brown) is the source of this 152-nucleotide long non-coding RNA. RefSeq lists it as uncharacterized. The record is from RefSeq and is a predicted model, not a curated record. Lineage: Eukaryota; Metazoa; Arthropoda; Insecta; Lepidoptera; Nymphalidae. The transcript is spliced from 3 exons.
UUAGGGCCGGUUGUUUCAAACCAUUAGUCUUCGUAACUUACAUUCGUUAAAAUUUAACAGAUACAGACGAACUUUAACAUCUGUUAAUUUUAUAGCGUUGCUUCAUUGAAAAAAAACAUUUCGUCAUUGUCAUUAGGGUUACGAAACUAGCC